AUGGGUACCUCCUCCCUGAGUCUCCACCACCCACCUCCCCUCCUCCUCUUGCUCCGCCUCCUGCUCCUGCCAUUCGUCACCACCCAAACCAUAGUCAACAUCACCAACCAAUGCCCAUACACUGUAUGGCCGGCCGCUCUGCCGGAGGGUGGCGGCAUGCGGCUGGACUCAGGGAAGACAUGGACCCUCCAGGUGCCUUCUGACACCCGUGGAGGAAGUGUGUGGGCGCGCACAGGCUGCUCGUUUGACGGCAAAGGCAAUGGGUCAUGCCAGACAGGCGACUGCGAAGGCUUGCUCGCCUGCAAGACAUAUGGCCAGGCACCCAUCACGUCUGCUCAAUUCUCGCUCAACCAGUAUAACAACAACAGUUUCUUCGGUAUCUCCCUCUACCAGGGCUUCAACGUACCAAUGGAGUUCUUGCCAAUGCCGGUCAAGGGGCAAGGGGGAUCAGGGUGCACAAAGGGGCCGCAGUGUGGGGCCAACAUCACGUCACAGUGUCCGAGCGAGCUCAAGGUGCCGGGAGGCUGCAACAGCGCAUGCGAUGUGUUCAAAACUCAGUCCAAUUUGUACUGCUGCUCUAUGACACCCUGUGAAUCCAACAAAUACUCGGCCUUCUUUGUGCGGAUGUGCCCGGAGGCAAUAAGUUACUCCAGUGAUGCUGUCACGGAAACUUCAUUCAGUUGUCCAUUGGAUACCAACUACCAGGUCAUCUUUUGCCCACCAAUCAAUCUAACGUCUUCACCUCCAAGUCCUCCUAACUCAGCUGAUCUUAGGCCACUACGCAAAGGACCCUCAGUAGGCAUUUUUGUUUCAGUUGCAAUUGCAGGUGCCAUAGUUUUAAUUAUCACAUUCAUCUUUUUCAUCAUACGUCGAAGAAGAACACGACGACACCAGGAGAUGGAGGAAGAGGAGGCAGACUUCAGUCAGCUACAAGGAACGCCAAUGAGGUUUACGUUUCAACAGUUAGAAGCAGCAACAGAGCAAUUCAAGGACAAGCUCGGGGAAGGAGGAUUUGGGUCUGUUUUCGAGGGGCAGCUAGGCGAGGAAAGGAUUGCGGUAAAACGUUUGGAUCGAGCUGGUCAGGGGAAGAGAGAAUUCUUGGCGGAGGUUCAGACAAUCGGCAGCAUUCAUCAUAUCAAUCUGGUGAGGCUGUUUGGUUUCUGUGCAGAGAAAUCCCAUAGGCUCUUGGUUUAUGAGUAUAUGCCAAAAGGAUCCUUGGACAGGUGGAUCUAUGGUCGACAUGAAAAUAGUGCUCCUCCGUUAGAAUGGAGGGUGCGAUGCAAGAUUAUCACUGACAUAGCUAAGGGUCUAUCUUAUCUUCACGAGGAUUGCAUGAAGAGAAUUGCUCAUUUGGAUGUCAAACCACAAAACAUCCUCUUAGAUGACGACUUCAAUGCUAAACUCUCUGAUUUUGGUCUAUGCAAGCUCAUUGAUAGGGAUAUGAGCCAAGUGAUUACAAGAAUGAGAGGCACACCUGGAUAUCUCGCCCCUGAAUGGUUGACAUCACAAAUCACGGAGAAGGCCGAUGUCUAUAGCUUUGGCGUUGUGGUCAUGGAAAUCGUGAGCGGAAGAAAGAACCUCGACACUUCCCUGUCUGAAGAGAGCAUCCAUCUUAUUACCCUAUUGGAAGAAAAGGUGGAGAAGAAUCAGUUGGAAGAUUUGAUUGACAAGAGCAGUAAUGACAUGCAAGCACACGAGCGAGAUGUAAUCCAGAUGAUGAAGCUAGCGAUGUGGUGUUUGCAGAUUGACUGCAAAAAAAGGCCUAAAAUGUCCGAGGUAGUCAAAGUCUUGGAAGGUACCAUGGAUGCAGAGAGCAACAUAGAUCAUAACUUUGUCGCAACAAAUGAACCAAAUUUCAGUAUUGCUGGAAAUGUGAACUCUUCAGCUCCACCUGUAGCCUCAGAUGUAUCGGGUCCAAGGUGA
This 1923-nucleotide ribosomal RNA is filed under the name Triticum aestivum (bread wheat). RNAcentral's name for it is "partial small subunit ribosomal RNA". Lineage: Eukaryota; Viridiplantae; Streptophyta; Magnoliopsida; Poales; Poaceae. The record is from RNAcentral.